This 528-nucleotide long non-coding RNA is filed under the name Hordeum vulgare. Its description in RNAcentral is "long non-coding RNA (HVUL_LNC001275)". Lineage: Eukaryota; Viridiplantae; Streptophyta; Magnoliopsida; Poales; Poaceae. The record is from RNAcentral.
GCGACGAUUUCCCCCUCCGGGAGGGAAGUUUUCCCGGCAGGAUCGUCCUGUCGGAGCUCUAGAUUGGUUCUGCUCAAGUUCCGCCUCGUGGCGGCGGCGAAUCCAGAAAAAGCCUCCUCUUGAUUUUUCCCCGGACGAAACCCUUCAUAUAGCAGAAGAGGUGGGGGGGGGGGCAUAGGGCCAGCUAAGUGCCCACAAGCCCCCUAGGCACGGCCGGGGGGGUGGCCGCGUCUAGCAGGCUUGUGGCCACCUGCUGUCGCCUUUCUGGCGCUACUUCGGCACAGUAUUUUUUAUAAAUCCGGAAAAAAAAUUCUCGUUGAUUUUUACGGCGUUUGGAGUUGCGCAGAAUAGGUAUCUCAACUUUGCUCCAAUUUUAUGUCAGAAUUCCAGCUGUCGGCAAGGUUUACUCUUCAAAUAAACCUUGCAAAAUAAGAGAGAAAAGACAUAAGAAUUGUACCGUGAAGUGAAAUAACAGGCCAAGAAAUGAUAAAUAUCAACAUGAAAGCAUGAUGCAAAAUGAACUUAUCA